GACGAACGCUGGCGGCGUGCUUAACACAUGCAAGUCGAACGCUGAAGCUCAGCUUUUGUUGGGUGGAUGAGUGGCGAACGGGUGAGUAACACGUGAGUAACCUGCCCCCUUCUUUGGGAUAACGCCCGGAAACGGGUGCUAAUACUGGAUAUUCACUGGUCUUCGCAUGGGGGUUGGUGGAAAGGGUUUUUCUGGUGGGGGAUGGGCUCGCGGCCUAUCAGCUUGUUGGUGGGGUGAUGGCCUACCAAGGCUUUGACGGGUAGCCGGCCUGAGAGGGUGACCGGGCACAUUGGGACUGAGAUACGGCCCAGACUCCUACGGGAGGCAGCAGUGGGGAAGAUUGCACAAUGGGCGCAAGCCUGAUGCAGCGACGCCGCGUGAGGGAUGGGGGCCUUCGGGUUGUGAACCUCUUUCGCUCAUGGUCAAGCCGCAACAAUGGUUGUGGUGAGGGUAGUGGGUAAAGAAGCGCCGGCUAACUACGUG
Molecule: ribosomal RNA, 483 nt
Filed under: uncultured bacterium
Lineage: Bacteria
Description: partial 16S ribosomal RNA
Rfam family: Bacterial small subunit ribosomal RNA
Source: RNAcentral